This 549-nucleotide ribosomal RNA is filed under the name uncultured bacterium. RNAcentral's name for it is "bacterial SSU rRNA". It matches the Rfam family "Bacterial small subunit ribosomal RNA", at positions 356 to 896 of the family's 1533-position model. The record is from RNAcentral.
AGGGGAUCUUCGGCAAUGGGGGCAACCCUGACCGAGCAACGCCGCGUGAGUGAAGAAGGUUUUCGGAUCGUAAAGCUCUGUUGUAAGUCAAGAACGAGUGUGAGAGUGGAAAGUUCACACUGUGACGGUAGCUUACCAGAAAGGGACGGCUAACUACGUGCCAGCAGCCGCGGUAAUACGUAGGUCCCGAGCGUUGUCCGGAUUUAUUGGGCGUAAAGCGAGCGCAGGCGGUUUGAUAAGUCUGAAGUUAAAGGCUGUGGCUCAACCAUAGUUCGCUUUGGAAACUGUCAAACUUGAGUGCAGAAGGGGAGAGUGGAAUUCCAUGUGUAGCGGUGAAAUGCGUAGAUAUAUGGAGGAACACCGGUGGCGAAAGCGGCUCUCUGGUCUGUAACUGACGCUGAGGCUCGAAAGCGUGGGGAGCGAACAGGAUUAGAUACCCUGGUAGUCCACGCCGUAAACGAUGAGUGCUAGGUGUUGGAUCCUUUCCGGGAUUCAGUGCCGCAGCUAACGCAUUAAGCACUCCGCCUGGGGAGUACGACCGCAAGGUUG